CUGAGUUAGUGUUUCUGGCCUGUUUUUUCCUUUGUUUCAAGAACAUGUUCCUUGGACCCAUUCAAGCCUGCUGUGGCACACUGAGAAGAGUUUGUGCCUGGACCAGAGGAAAACACAGAGGAGAGGUACAUGGGGGACAGGGACACACAACCCCUUGAUUAUUUGAUUCCUCUCCUUGAAUGGAGGAGACAGAGUUCUCAAAGGACCAGAGGCAGCAGUAUUCCAAAGGGCAGAGCUAAGGUCAAGUACAGAGAAGGAAGGGGACAUUCAAGGCAAGAAGGCAGAGGGUCACAAAUGGAAGAAAGCAGCAACUGGCUGAGAAGUGGGGACUAGGAAGCAAGAGGAAAAAGACUUCAACCUGGAGGCUGGCGAGCCCUGCCAAAGAGCCUGAACCUGUUCUGACUGCUGCCUCUUCCCUGAAGCUAGGCAAGAUUUUCAGGUGUAAAUGCCCAGGGCCUGGUUGCACCCCAGUUUGGCUCUGCUAAAGGUGAAGGCUGGCUCACUUAUGUCUGAGACAUUGGUCUGAGCCCACAUGGCCACAGCAUGAGAAGAGUGGUCCAUGUGGGCUGGGAAGCCCUAUGUGUCCUGGA
RNAcentral lists this long non-coding RNA (590 nucleotides) under Homo sapiens (human). RNAcentral's name for it is "PREDICTED lncRNA (TCONS_00027693)". The record is from RNAcentral. Lineage: Eukaryota; Metazoa; Chordata; Mammalia; Primates; Hominidae.